UGGGGAAUAUUGCGCAAUGGGGGAAACCCUGACGCAGCAACGCCGCGUGAAGGAUGAAGGUUUUCGGAUUGUAAACUUCUUUGAUCGGGGACGAAAAUGACGGUACCCGAGGAACAAGCCACGGCUAACUACGUGCCAGCAGCCGCGGUAAUACGUAGGUGGCAAGCGUUGUCCGGAAUUACUGGGUGUAAAGGGCGUGUAGGCGGGAAAGUAAGUCAGAUGUGAAAUACCGGGGCUUAACUCCGGGGCUGCAUCUGAAACUGUUUUUCUUGAGUGUCGGAGAGGAAAGCGGAAUUCCUAGUGUAGCGGUGAAAUGCGUAGAUAUUAGGAGGAACACCAGUGGCGAAGGCGGCUUUCUGGACGACAACUGACGCUGAGGCGCGAAAGCGUGGGGAGCAAACAGG
This 404-nucleotide ribosomal RNA is filed under the name uncultured prokaryote. RNAcentral's name for it is "bacterial SSU rRNA". It matches the Rfam family "Bacterial small subunit ribosomal RNA", at positions 355 to 776 of the family's 1533-position model. RNAcentral also lists the same sequence under 1 other name. The record is from RNAcentral.